ACACCUCAGCUCUCAUGGCUUGCCAUGAUGAGCUUGGACUUUGGGGGUCUUGUUGGCCUGUGAGCCAGCUCCUCUUAAAUGAAUUAGCUUGCCGGUGUUUGGUGUGGCGUCACAGGUGUGAUAACUAUCUACGCUUGUGGUUUCCCACCAGGUAACCUUCAGCAAUGGAGGUUCGCUGGAGCUCAUAAAUGUCUCUCCUCAGCGAGGACAGAUUUUGACC
RNAcentral lists this unclassified non-coding RNA (220 nucleotides) under uncultured Tomentella. RNAcentral's name for it is "sequence contains ITS2". Lineage: Eukaryota; Fungi; Basidiomycota; Agaricomycetes; Thelephorales; Thelephoraceae. The record is from RNAcentral.